Molecule: long non-coding RNA, 1559 nt
Filed under: Gallus gallus (chicken)
Lineage: Eukaryota; Metazoa; Chordata; Aves; Galliformes; Phasianidae
Description: lncRNA (ENSGALG00010005005.1)
Source: RNAcentral
AAAAUGUUGAGGGUGCAAGCACAGUGGGAUUUGGGUUCCCUCCACUGCAAUCCAAUGGACUUUAGACAAAUCACUUUGGGUAUGUCUAUAUUAAGAGAGUGAAGGCUCAAAACGCCUCAACAAUUCCUCUGGGGCCUCUCUAGGCCAGGAAGAAGAAGCAAGAGAGAAGUGCAAAGCAAACUUUAGCUCACUGCUGGCGUUUGGGAGUGUAUUUCCUUUUGAUAUAACAUCUCAGGCAGAGUUCUGCAUCAGCAUUUCCAUAUUUUAUGAGCCUCAGACUGUUAUAUCCCCGCAACACCACCCAAGCUCACCUAAUUGGAAUGAAAUCAAAAAUAAAAACCAAAAAACCAUAACCUUUUGAUGUUCCCAAGCGGAAAGUGGUAUAAAAGCCCCCAAGAAAUACCUUGCAUGGCAUGAUAGUCACUGAAUGUUAACUGGGCCUGUGACAUACACUUUUCAUUAGCGUUCUUGGAAAGUCAAUGAUUCUUGGGUUCUUAAGCAAAUAUGUUAUUUUUUUUUUUUCAUACUGAAUGGAAAGAUGGAAUUCCCAAAGGGUAUCAACUGCAACCCAGCACAGCAGAAGUGUAAUUUGUCAAACAACAACACAGUGAAAUAUUUCACAGCUGAAACUAUAUUAACAUGACAGAAUCUGAAGCCAGUUAACACUUCUCAUUAGAAUUUUACUUCAGCAUAACUCUUGAGCAAAAUGCCCUUAGCCCAAACAAACAUGUUUCGUGUUUCUUGAAACACCACAAAUGUUGCCAUCUACCUCCUUUCCCUGUCAUGCUCCCUUCGUGAGAAAAGUUCAAAGCCACAAGUUAAUAUUUGGGUCUCUCUUUGAGUAGCAGAGGUCAAGACAUCUACCAGCCAUGCAUUCCGAAGCAGAACUCUUGCAGUCUACUUGCAGCCAUACAGCGAGUAGCCAGUUUUUCUCUUGGACUGUAAUUACAUCUCUUAGGGAGAUAAAUCAACAUUAAUGCAGGGUCAGGCUAUGACACGGGAACUCAUCAUAACAUACAGUUUGCUCCUAAGUUCAGGUUCUGCGUGACUCAAAUUGAAUAACAAAUAAUAUAUGGAAAGUGGCACGCUGUAUGUAAAAAGCUUGUGAGCUGAAGAAGCAGCUACAUUCACAGCAAAUCUCGAGCACUGUCAGUCAUCCAUUGAGCUCAGCUACUUGGUGUGACAGUCAUUACAAGACGGGAGUUUUACAGGCACUUAAAUGCUGUCCUCAAACAGUUACUUGCUGGCAAAUCAACAGUGUGUGGUCAGGGAUCACUCAAAGAAACCAGAAUUUUGCAGCUUGUUUUAUUCAGAACGAGGGUGGUUUCUGCUGUGUUGUUGGUACAUCUUUGCCUUCACCAGGACAGAACAAAGUGUUUCUUGAAGAGAUGAUGAAUCAACAUCAGAGUCUGCCCAAGCAUAAAGGACCAGUGCAAAACACUUUCUGACUUCCUGUGGCACCAACAGAAGAGAGAAAAGUGUCUUAGCAACUGCCUGGAGAACGGGAACACAGAGCAAAGCCCUGCCUUCAGCUUUCCUGCCCACGCUGCAGUACCUGG